AACGAACGCUGGCGGCAGGCUUAACACAUGCAAGUCGAACGCAUCGCAAGAUGAGUGGCAGACGGGUGAGUAACACGUGGGAACAUACCCUUUGGUGCGGAACAACAGCUGGAAACGGCUGCUAAUACCGCAUGCGCCCUACGGGGGAAAGAUUUAUCGCCGAAGGAUUGGCCCGCGUCUGAUUAGCUAGUUGGUGAGGUAAUGGCUCACCAAGGCGACGAUCAGUAGCUGGUCUGAGAGGAUGAUCAGCCACACUGGGACUGAGACACGGCCCAGACUCCUACGGGAGGCAGCAGUGGGGAAUAUUGGACAAUGGGCGCAAGCCUGAUCCAGCCAUGCCGCGUGAGUGAUGAAGGCCCUAGGGUUGUAAAGCUCUUUCAGCGAGGAGGAUAAUGACGUUACUCGCAGAAGAAGCCCCGGCUAACUUCGUGCCAGCAGCCGCGGUAAGUCACUAUCGA
This 458-nucleotide ribosomal RNA is filed under the name uncultured bacterium. RNAcentral describes it as "bacterial SSU rRNA". It matches the Rfam family "Bacterial small subunit ribosomal RNA", at positions 29 to 532 of the family's 1533-position model. The record is from RNAcentral.